This 633-nucleotide long non-coding RNA is filed under the name Mytilus galloprovincialis (Mediterranean mussel). Lineage: Eukaryota; Metazoa; Mollusca; Bivalvia; Mytilida; Mytilidae. The record is from RNAcentral.
GCUUUAUUCCUGAAUCACAUCAUAUAUCGCAUAUUUUAUAAGACAUGUGCACAAUAAAACAUAUUCUAUAAGAAAAAAGUCUACAGUUAAUAUGCUUUGUGUGAUCAACAAUCAUAAUACCACGAAGCCUGUAUGUUGUUUGUACCUUUGAUAACUAGUUUCAUACACAAUCACAUCAUAAAAGCAAUGAUACAUUAAUUGAGAUAACUUUAUAUUAAAUGGGGGUAUAAAAAAAUCAACUAUAUAUGAAUAAAUAUAUAUAGUUAACAUUAAUGUGUCAAACAUUUAAGACAAUUUAAGUUAAGUGAUUUUUAAAAUCCAGACUGGCCAUGGGUACAUUUAACUAGAGGCUCUAAAGAGCCUGUGUCGCUCACCUUGGUCUAUGUGCAUAUUAAACAAAGGACACAAAUGGAUUCAUGACAAAAUUGUAUUUUGGUGAUGGUGAUGUGUUUGAAGUUCUUACUUUACUGAACGUUCUUGCUUCUUACAAUUAUAUCUAUAAUGAACUUUGCCCAUUAGUAACAGAGAAAAAUAUUUGGUAAAAAUUUACAUAAAUUUACCAAAUUAAUAAAAAUGGUUAAAAAUUGACUAUAAAGGGCAAUUACUCCUUAAGGGGUCAAUUGACCAUUUAGG